UGCAGUCUGUACAGCCUGCUGGCCAACAAAUAGAAUCUUCCAUGAACAGUCGUGAUGCCAUCAGCAUUGUCGAGCAUUAAUUCUACGUCUUCGAUGACCUUCUUUGCUCUAUCCUGAUCAUUGAGCUUAUCAAGGAGAAUUUGUCCGCUGAGAACUUUGCAGAGAGCAACCGCUUCAUUAUUAUUUUUUAUUUUCGAUUCUGUUUUUUCCAAGAAGGUGAUGGCCUCCUGUUUAUCUUGGAACUGCUGUAUAACAUGUGCCAAAAUCUCAACCAACGACAAUGGGUUGAUCCUGGAUUAGGGCGGGAUUCUCUACGAAGGUUUCCAAUUUCAGUGUGAGCUGAUGCCAAAGCCUGCA
Molecule: unclassified non-coding RNA, 357 nt
Filed under: Athalia rosae (coleseed sawfly)
Lineage: Eukaryota; Metazoa; Arthropoda; Insecta; Hymenoptera; Athaliidae
Description: misc RNA ENSAEAG00005002877.1
Source: RNAcentral